UUGCCAGACUCCUACGGGAGGCAGCAGUGGGGAAUAUUGCACAAUGGGGGAAACCCUGAUGCAGCAACGCCGCGUGAGUGAAGAAGUCAUUCGUGAUGUAAAGCUCUAUCAGCAGGGAAGAAAAUGACGGUACCUGAGUAAGAAGCACCGGCUAAAUACGUGCCAGCAGCCGCGGUAAUACGUAUGGUGCAAGCGUUAUCCGGAUUUACUGGGUGUAAAGGGAGCGCAGGCGGCGCGUUAAGCCUGGAGUGAAAGCCCACGGCCCAACCGUGGGACUGCUCUGGAAACUGUGCGGCUUGAGUGCGGGAGGGGCAGGCGGAAUUCCUAGUGUAGCGGUGAAAUGCGUAGAUAUUAGGAGGAACACCGGCGGCGAAGGCGGCCUGCUGGACCGUAACUGACGUUGAGGCUCGAAAGCGUGGGGAGCAAACAGGAUUAGAUACCCCGGUA
RNAcentral lists this ribosomal RNA (447 nucleotides) under uncultured bacterium. Its description in RNAcentral is "partial 16S ribosomal RNA". It matches the Rfam family "Bacterial small subunit ribosomal RNA", at positions 328 to 792 of the family's 1533-position model. The record is from RNAcentral.